Molecule: transfer RNA, 77 nt
Filed under: Oscillospiraceae bacterium
Lineage: Bacteria; Bacillati; Bacillota; Clostridia; Eubacteriales; Oscillospiraceae
Description: tRNA-Arg
Rfam family: tRNA
About the family: Transfer RNA (tRNA) molecules are approximately 80 nucleotides in length. Their secondary structure includes four short double-helical elements and three loops (D, anti-codon, and T loops).
Source: RNAcentral
CCGCCCGUAGCGAAGCAGGAUAUCGCAUCAGAUUCCGAUUCUGAAGGUCGGGGGUUCGACUCCCUCCGGGUGGGCCA